GACGAACUGUGGGUGUCCCUUUAAAUUGUCAUGAAAGCAUCAGUUGUCCAAUCAGAUACAUGCAAGACUAUAUAAAAGGGGACUUUUAAUGCACCAUGUUGUGUGAUCACCGCUUGUGUGUCAUUGCCCGAGGCCCGCCCCUUCCUGGUUUAGACUCUUUCUGUCUCACAGUUUCCAACGUGUAAUCAUUCCAUGUGGCUCGGCGACUGCUUUUAAACAUGAACCCACCGUAAUCCCGUGCCUUCUUGCCGGUUUGAUGUCCAUUUGCCUGUGCGGCUGGACUUGUGGUCGAAACGACAAUAUUAAGGAACCGAGGCUUCAGGCAGACGGCUAGUUGGCCUUCGCGUGCGGUGGUGGGACUCUAUCACAGGGUGCAGUGUGUUCACGCUUGGUCUUACUGUGUUUGUGUGAGUGUGUGUGUGGUGCGUUUGUGCACUUGGCGUUAUGCUCCUGGCGAUAUAGUAGCCGCAUACUCAUUAAGCUAGUUUACCUGCUUUAGGUAAGCCUCGGUUUCCUUUUGUUUUAUGCCUAUUUUAUUCCAGCCCAUAGUCAUGUUUUAAAAGUAAAACCCAUAUUUAUUGUGAAAAAACAUUUUUUUGUAUCUUUGGUAUGCACGUCUCUUGCCUCUGUUUAUUGAAACCACGUACCUGUGUGUCUUUUGUAGAUGAUUAAUCUAUAAUAGUGUUCCCUGUUAACAGGGUGGCGUAGUCAGCUGAGUUAUAGUUUCUGUCUAAUUAACGUCCCGCCACACUUUGGCGUAGUCGGCAGGAUUGCGUUUCUCUUUGUUGGGCUGAGACGUGGAUGCUUAUUGUUAUUUUGUUAAAGGUUUUAGUUGUGACUUGUGGAUGGAUUAGAGGUUAUUUUUUUGU
This is a long non-coding RNA of Silurus meridionalis, 869 nucleotides long. RefSeq lists it as uncharacterized. NCBI's taxonomy places the organism in Eukaryota, Metazoa, Chordata, Actinopteri, Siluriformes, Siluridae. The transcript has 3 exons. The record is from RefSeq and is a predicted model, not a curated record.